This 302-nucleotide ribosomal RNA is filed under the name uncultured bacterium. RNAcentral's name for it is "bacterial SSU rRNA". It matches the Rfam family "Bacterial small subunit ribosomal RNA", at positions 28 to 333 of the family's 1533-position model. The record is from RNAcentral.
GACGAACGCUGGCGGCGUGCUUAACACAUGCAAGUGGAGCGACGAACCGGGCUUCGGCCCGGGGCAGAGCCGCGAACGGGUGAGUAACACGUGGGUUACCUGCCCCGUUCGACAGGGACGAACCCGGGGAAACCCGGGCGUAACUACCUGAUGUGCCCUUAGGGGGAAGGAAGGACUCGGCCUCCGCAACGGAUGGGCCGCGGCGCAUUAGCUUGUUGGUGGGGUAAAGGCCGUACCAACGGCUACGAUGCGUAGCUGGUCUGAGAGGACGAUCAGCCACACUGGGACUGAGACACGGCCCA